Molecule: ribosomal RNA, 253 nt
Filed under: uncultured bacterium
Lineage: Bacteria
Description: partial 16S ribosomal RNA
Rfam family: Bacterial small subunit ribosomal RNA
Source: RNAcentral
UACGUAGGGAGCAAGCGUUGUCCGGAAUCAUUGGGCGUAAAGCGCGCGUAGGCGGCUCGAUCAGUCUGUUGUGAAAGUCAAAGGCUCAACCUUUGAAUGCCGAUGGAUACUGUCGAGCUAGAGUCCGGAAGAGGCGAGUGGAAUUCCUGGUGUAGCGGUGGAAUGCGCAGAUAUCAGGAGGAACACCAACGGCGAAGGCAGCUCGCUGGGACGGUACUGACGCUAAGACGCGAAAGCGUGGGGAGCAAACAGG